Molecule: ribosomal RNA, 406 nt
Filed under: uncultured bacterium
Lineage: Bacteria
Description: partial 16S ribosomal RNA
Rfam family: Bacterial small subunit ribosomal RNA
Source: RNAcentral
AUUGAACGCUGGCGGCAGGCCUAACACAUGCAAGUCGAACGAGAGGCGGACGGGUGAGUAAUGUCUGGGAAACUGCCCGAUGGAGGGGGGUAACUACUGGAAACGGUAGCUAAUACCGCAUACCAUCGGAUGUGCCCAGAGGGGAUUAGCUAGUCGGGGGGGUAACGGCUCACCUAGGCGACGAUCCCUAGCUGGUCUGCGAGGAUGACCGGCCACACUGGAACUGAGACACGGUCCAGACUCCUACGGGAGUCAGCAGUUGGGAAUAUUGCACAAUGGGCGCAAGCCUGAUGCAGCCAUGCCGCGUGUAUGAAGAAGGCCUUCGGGUUGUAAAGUACUUUCAGCGAGGAUGCGUUACUCGCAGAAGAAGCACCGGCUAACUCCGUGCCAGCAGCCGCGGUAAUUC